UCUUCUCUUUCCUUGUGUUUAGGGUUCACCAGGAAAAAAGGUAAGGUGGCAAUGACGGUUAAACUAGGGCAGAUUCAAAAAAAAGCAAAUUUAUAUAUAUAUAUAUAUAUUUGCUUUUUUCUUUUGCAGGGUGAUCAAGGAGAAAGAGGCCUGAAAGGAGAGAAGGUACAGUUGUGCUGAUAUGUAAAACCCCUUUAAAAAAAAACCCACAUGUAUAUUGAAAUGUAAAUUAAGUUAGUUUGCUUUCAUGUUUUCCAAGGGUGAUGGCGGAGCACCUGGAAAAUCUAUUGAGAUGAAGGUGAAUACAGGAUUUAGUGAUUCAUCUCCCGGCAUACAUGUUCUCAUUUUGUAUUAAUACGUCUUUGAGCAACAUAUUUUUUCUUCUUCUUUAGGACAUUGAAAUAAUGUUUGAAGCCUACGGCAUAAGGCUGCCCUUGCUGAAGGCUUUGAUUGACAGGCUGCUGCAGGAGGGGAUAGAGGAGCUGCUUCAUGUGCUCGUCACCGCCAAGAACACAAAAGAAAACAAAGAAACUCACACAUCUAACGUCAUCACGGAGUACACGAGUUCAGUGCAGUUCGACCUCACCAGCCAGCCGCUGUUAGAGUUGGACACCACUGAAGACCCAGAUACAGAUGAGCAGCUUCCGGAGUCAUUUUCAGUAGAGCCUCUUAAUGAAACUGCAGAGGUUCCAUCUUUAAGGACCAUCAGUGCACUGAACGAAGAGCAGGAGCUCGACAGGAUCGAGACCAAGUCAAAGGGAUCCACAGGGAUGAAGAUGAUAGACGGGGACAGUGACAAAGUGUCCUCACUGAAAAUGAAUCUGACAAAAGUCAAUUCCACUUUCAAUUAUACUACGGCCCAGGAGACGGUUUCAGGGCUAACGGAAACUGUGGUGGAGAAAGUUGUCCUCACUCAGGAGGACUCUCUGAAGAAGAAUUCAGGAAAAAAGAAGAAAAACAGGGAACGUGGGAAGGGCAAAGGAAAUAAAGGAAGACAUAAGAGGCAGAGACACCGCCUGACAAGCGAAGAGCAAGGAGAUGAAGAAGAGGAUGAGUUUUAUAACGGUGAAGAAUACGGUGAUGAAUACGAGGAAGAACUUUCCCCACAUGGUAACUUGCAGGAGAGCAGAGACGACAGAGAGGUGGAACUACUGCCCACGCACAUUCCUGCCCAGUUAGAAACAUCCUCAGACCCCUCCCGUCUUCAUCUGACUCACUUCUCAGAAAGAGAAACAGACGAACAGGCUGCGCGGACGACCACAGAUCCUCCCUAUCAACCGACGGGGGAGGUGGAGAAGGGUGAAGUGUCACUGCCCACACCUCCCAUCACAACGGAAGAACCGGACAAGGUGCCUCUAUCUCAAAUGAGGGUGAGAAGAGGCGCCCCCUGGUCUGACUCCAUGGCGUUCAUGCCAGGUGCCCCGGGCAGAAGACAUUGGUCCAAGGAGGUGCAAAAACAUCACUCCUCUGGAGCUGCAGGUUACAACAGCUUCAAUAAGAAGCAAGAAAACGCUGAUGUUCACACACACACCAGGAGGGAGAGGCAAGGAAGAAGAGACAGACAGACAUACAGUGAGACGGAGGGAGGGAUUCAUCCAGAAAUACAAGGUGGAGGAGACGAACAGACUGAAGCUGAAGGAGUUGAGGAGUGGGAGCAAGAUGGAUAUACAGGAGCAGUCCCCGAUCCGGUCUACGACGAGGAGGAGGGGAGCGGAGACUACGACUGGGAUGCCGAGGAGGAUGUGGAUCGAGAGAGGGAAGCGGAGGAGGAGUUGGAGAACCUGGAGAGGGAGAGAGAGAGGGAGAGGUUGGAGAUGGAGAGAGAGAGAGGGGAGCUGGAGAAGGAGAGGGAGGAGAUGGAGAGAGAGAGGACGGGACAGGAUGGGGAGAGAGACUUGGCCAGGGAGAGGGAGGAAUGGGAGAGGAGGAGGAUGGAGGUGGAGAGACGGAGAGAGGGGCAUUAUGAUGAAGAAACUGGACAGCCAUACCCAUACCCUCCAGAGUAUUUUUUACUGAAGGUGAGGACACAUAAAUAA
Long non-coding RNA from Scophthalmus maximus (turbot), 2036 nucleotides. NCBI's taxonomy places the organism in Eukaryota, Metazoa, Chordata, Actinopteri, Pleuronectiformes, Scophthalmidae. The record is from Ensembl.